CAUUUCUAAGUCACAAUUCAAAUAAUAAAGCAUUAUAUAAAUGACGUCAAGAAACGUUUUCUUUUCCUGUUAAACUGUAGUAGUCAAAUGAUGGAAUGAAUAAAGGUUAUAAAAUCUGUAAUUUUAGGGAAUAGUUUUUCGAGUAUGAUUUUUAUUUCAAGGCAAAAAUUCUUAACCUAAAAAAUCUUAUACACACAUUUAGAGUAAAAUAAACAGUCUUACUUUUAAAUUAAAUUUUUUUCUGAAGUUUUCCUUUUAUUAACUUUGAGUAAAGAAUUGUACACUUAAAAAAAAACAAUUUUUCCCUUGAAGUUAUGAAGCAGUUUCAAUUGAAUUUUCUUUUUAAAAGAUCUACCGUUUGAUAUAUCUAAAAAUUGUCUUUGAUCUACUAUGUAUUCCGCUGCGUCUAUUUUAAUUGUAUUUGCUAUUCGAAUUCCACUGAUGCGUCGCUCUAUUUUCUCCGCCUUUGCUGUUGUAUAACAACCAAUGAGACGAAACAACAAAGUUGUCGUCUCCUGUUGCUACUUUUAAGUUAUUUUGUUUGAUUUUUUUUUCUAUUUUGUUUGCAUUUUGCGCACUAUUGCCUCCGUUUAGUUGUUGUUUUAAUAGUCGCUAUAUCUUAUCGCGCUAACAACAUGGUUGUGAGUGUGCUGGCACAGCUCUCGUUGCACGUGUGUGCGUUUUAGUUCAUUUUCAUUUUUUAUGUAAUCAACAAACAAAAUAGCAACGCCUCAGCCUCAGUUCGCUUGCCUUUUGCGUUCUAUGCUGAGGUUCUCAAAAAAAAAGCACACACACGCCUCUACAGCAGCAGUCAGACUGCAUCAGAAGUGUACCUUCUGAGACCUAAAAUAACUGAGCAAAAUAUUCAUAAAAAUAAUACACCCAAUCCGAAAUAAGCCGUGACUUCAAAUACUUCAGCUCAAAACUAUAAAAGAAACAUGGGGAAACGCGUGGCCAGCGGUCUGGACUGCCGUCGAUGACAGUUAAAAAUCAAAUGAAAUGAGUGCCAGCAGCAGCAGUAGCAGCAGUAGCAGCAGCAGCAGAAAAGCAGAGCAGCAUCCAACGAGUCCUGAGGCCGAGACAGAAACAGAAUCAGAAAAACAGAGACCGAGAACCAGAACGAGGCGAGUUCGGUGCGAUUUUAAAAUUAUGAAUUGUUGUAAAUGAAACGAGGCGUAAGCAGAGCGGUGGCAGAGCAAAAGCGUCAUGUGGCUUGGUGGGUGGUGCGCCCCAGUCGUUGCGGCAUUGGUGGUGCGCAUCAGCAACAGCAGCAGCGGCAGCAGCAACAUCGGCAUUACCAACAUCACCAGCAGCAACAGUGCAAAAGUGUUAAUGGAAACCACCCUCGAAGAAAGGUAAAAAGUUUUCAAAGAGUACCAAAAACAGAACGGGACGGAAGCUCAUUGGUCCAUGGGUUGAUCGCUUCCGGAUAUUGCACUGUUGCAUAUUUCAGGUAGUUGAGAUCGGAAAGAAUUUAAGUUUAAGUCACUGGCAAUGCUUUUAUAACGGAAACAUUUUAUUUGCGCCCAACGUGGGGCAUUCGACUUUUUUAAAAAUCGCCAAAAAGGACAAUUGACUUG
Long non-coding RNA from Drosophila gunungcola (fruit fly), 1580 nucleotides. RefSeq lists it as uncharacterized. The record is from RefSeq and is a predicted model, not a curated record. The transcript is spliced from 3 exons. NCBI's taxonomy places the organism in Eukaryota, Metazoa, Arthropoda, Insecta, Diptera, Drosophilidae.